RNAcentral lists this unclassified non-coding RNA (364 nucleotides) under uncultured fungus. RNAcentral describes it as "partial contains small subunit ribosomal RNA, internal transcribed spacer 1, and 5.8S ribosomal RNA". The stretch from base 1 to 73 matches the Rfam family "Eukaryotic small subunit ribosomal RNA", at positions 1759 to 1831 of the family's 1831-position model. The record is from RNAcentral. Lineage: Eukaryota; Fungi.
GCAAACUUGGUCAUUUAGAGGAAGUAAAAGUCGUAACAAGGUUUCCGUAGGUGAACCUGCGGAAGGAUCAUUAUUGAAUAAACUUGAUGUGGUUGUAGCUGGCUCUUUUGGAGUAUGUGCUCGCCCGUCACCUUUAUAUCUCCACCUGUGCACUACUUGUAGAUUUGGAUGUGACUUUCCGAGGCGCACUCGGUUUAGAGGGAAAAUCUCAUUUGUGGUUUUUUCCUUGCAUGUCCAAGUCUAUGUUUUUCAUAUACACCAAAGCAUGUAACAGAAUGUAUUCAAUGGGCUUUUUUGUGCCUAUAAACUCUAUACAACUUUCAGCAACGGAUCUCUUGGCUCUCGCAUCGAUGAAGAACGCAGC